Cyprinus carpio (common carp) is the source of this 476-nucleotide long non-coding RNA. RefSeq lists it as uncharacterized. The transcript has 3 exons. The record is from RefSeq and is a predicted model, not a curated record. NCBI's taxonomy places the organism in Eukaryota, Metazoa, Chordata, Actinopteri, Cypriniformes, Cyprinidae.
ACAAUUUUAGCUCAUACAAAUUGUUUAGUAGUUAUUAAUUGUUUUAGUAGUUAAUAAUUAUAUGUCGAUGGUUCAAAUUUGUUUGUUUUGUUAAACAUUCUCACUGUACUCAUGUAUUCUCGUUUUUAAAAAACUGCACUUUUAUUCUAUUAUAACAGAUUUGUGUAUUUUCAGAUUGUGCUUGGGGAUGCCCGUCCUGUGCAGCUACAAAGCUGCCAGUGUACCUGUGUGGCAGGUACAGCUGUGUGUAAUCAUGUGGCAGCACUGUUGUACCAGACUGCACAUUAUUGCCAGCUUAGCAUCACCUCUGUUCCCCCAACACACAGCUGCACAGAGACUGAACAGAAGUGGCAUAAGCCAAGAUCCAUGGGUGUUAAACCUGGUCUUGUAAAGUGACAUGGUGAUUCUUUCAGCCAGACCCAAGGAACGAAAACUGAUGGAAGGCAUUAGGAGCAACUUGUAUAAGGGUGUCAGUU